RNAcentral lists this ribosomal RNA (377 nucleotides) under uncultured Glomus. Its description in RNAcentral is "SSU rRNA". It matches the Rfam family "Eukaryotic small subunit ribosomal RNA", at positions 635 to 1016 of the family's 1831-position model. The record is from RNAcentral. Lineage: Eukaryota; Fungi; Glomeromycota; Glomeromycetes; Glomerales; Glomeraceae.
UGAAUUUCGGGGUCAGUGGGUUGGUCGUGCCACAGGUACGUACUGGACAUCAGGAUUCCUCCCUCUUGACGAGCCGUAAUGCCAUUAAUUUGGUGUUGCGGGGAAUCAGGACUGUUACUUUGAAAAAAUUAGAGUGUUUAAAGCAGGCAUGCGCUUGAAUACAUUAGCAUGGAAUAAUGAAAUAGGACGUUCGAUCUUAUUUUGUUGGUUUCUAGGAUUGACGUAAUGAUUAAUAGGGAUAGUUGGGGGCAUUAGUAUUCAAUUGUCAGAGGUGAAAUUCUUGGAUUUAUUGAAGACUAACUACUGCGAAAGCAUUUGCCAAGGAUGUUCUCAUUAAUCAAGGACGAAAGUUAGGGGAUCGAAGACGAUCAGAUACC